CCACAUCAUAUUGAAACACUGAUUCCCAUAUGAUCUCUGAAGUUAAGCAACAUGAAACCUGGUCAGUACCCAGAUGGGUGACCACUUGGGAAUACUAGGUGCUGUAAG
RNAcentral lists this ribosomal RNA (108 nucleotides) under Acanthosepion pharaonis. Lineage: Eukaryota; Metazoa; Mollusca; Cephalopoda; Sepiida; Sepiidae. The record is from RNAcentral.